GAUGAACGCUGGCGGCGUGCUUAACACAUGCAAGUCGAACGCAGUAGCAAUACUGAGUGGCAAACGGGUGAGUAUAAUGUGGGAAUCUGCCUUUUGGUUUGGAAUAACACGGGGAAACUUGUGCUAAUACCGAAUAAGCCCUUACGGGGAAAGUUUUAACGCCGAAAGAUGAGCCUGCACUUGAUUAGCUAGUUGGUAAGGUAAAGGCUUACCAAGGCAACGAUCAAUAGCUGUUCUUAGAGGAAGACCAGCCACAUUGGGACUGAGACACGGCCCAGACUCCUACGGGAGGCAGCAGUGGGGAAUCUUGCACAAUGGGGGAAACCCUGAUGCAGCGAUGCCGCGUGAGUGAAGAAGGCCCUUGGGUUGUAAAACUCUUUCGUCGGGGAAGAAAAUGACUGUACCCGAAUAAGAAGGUCCGGCUAACUUCG
RNAcentral lists this ribosomal RNA (431 nucleotides) under uncultured Pelagibacteraceae bacterium. RNAcentral describes it as "bacterial SSU rRNA". It matches the Rfam family "Bacterial small subunit ribosomal RNA", at positions 28 to 505 of the family's 1533-position model. Lineage: Bacteria; Pseudomonadati; Pseudomonadota; Alphaproteobacteria; Candidatus Pelagibacterales; Candidatus Pelagibacteraceae. The record is from RNAcentral.